Molecule: ribosomal RNA, 485 nt
Filed under: uncultured bacterium
Lineage: Bacteria
Description: bacterial SSU rRNA
Rfam family: Bacterial small subunit ribosomal RNA
Source: RNAcentral
GGCUCAGGACGAACGCUGGCGGCGUGCCUAACACAUGCAAGUCGAACGGACACAGAGGAGCUUGCUCUUCUGUGUUAGUGGCGGACGGGUGAGUAACGCGUGAGCAACCUGCCUUACAGAGGGGGAUAACGUUUGGAAACGAACGCUAAUACCGCAUAACGUAUGAUUGUCACAUGGCAGACAUACCAAAGGAGCAAUCCGCUGUAGGAUGGGCUCGCGUCCGAUUAGAUAGUUGGCGGGGUAACGGCCCACCAAGUCGACGAUCGGUAGCCGGACUGAGAGGUUGAACGGCCACAUUGGGACUGAGACACGGCCCAGACUCCUACGGGAGGCAGCAGUGAGGGAUAUUGCACAAUGGGCGCAAGCCUGAUGCAGCCAACGCCGCGUGAGGGAUGACGGUUUUCGGAUUGUAAACCUCUGUCUUCGGUGAAGAUGAUGACAUUAGCCGAGGAGGAAGCCACGGCUAACUACGUGCCAGCAGCUGC